UCAUCCUAGAGAGAAAGGAGAGGAUGGAGAGAAAUUAAGAACCAUUAGUCUGACUAAUAAGACAAAACGAUUUCCAAUUUGUAAAAAUCUCUUUAGUCCCAUCGGUACCUCUUUCCAUCCCUUUCAAGAUUGUUUAUUUCUUUUUAGUAAUUUUAAGGUCUAAAGUUACUGUUGCAGGGUAAAUGUCAGACAGCAUGAGUAACUGCAUGCUGCAUGUUGAGAUGUCAUGUCUGCCUUGAUUUUCUGAGCUCAAUUAGGAGCAACAAUAAUCACCUGUGCUGGCUGCAGCAACCAGUCACAGGUGAAUCAGAUCCCCAAAUCAGGUCUCCCAUAAAGGGAAGGAGAGCCCAUUGCUGAGUUUGCUCUCCAAAGGACAAGACCUGUUCCACCUUUCUUUACCGAGUGCGUCCACAUGAAAAACCACUUGACAAAUUGAGGAAAAAACCUGUGCUAAUAAAAACCUUAAAGUGGAA
Long non-coding RNA from Labrus mixtus (cuckoo wrasse), 473 nucleotides. RefSeq lists it as uncharacterized. The record is from RefSeq and is a predicted model, not a curated record. NCBI's taxonomy places the organism in Eukaryota, Metazoa, Chordata, Actinopteri, Labriformes, Labridae. The transcript has 2 exons.